Molecule: ribosomal RNA, 308 nt
Filed under: uncultured bacterium
Lineage: Bacteria
Description: bacterial SSU rRNA
Rfam family: Bacterial small subunit ribosomal RNA
Source: RNAcentral
UACUCUUGACAUCCACGGAAUUUAGCAGAGAUGCUUUAGUGCCUUCGGGAACCGUGAGACAGGUGCUGCAUGGCUGUCGUCAGCUCGUGUUGUGAAAUGUUGGGUUAAGUCCCGCAACGAGCGCAACCCUUAUCCUUUGUUGCCAGCACGUAAUGGUGGGAACUCAAGNGAGACUGCCGGUGACAAACCGGAGGAAGGUGGGGAUGACGUCAAGUCAUCAUGGCCCUUACGAGUAGGGCUACACACGUGCUACAAUGGCAGAUACAAAGUGAAGCGAACUCGCGAGAGCAAGCGGACCACAUAAAGUC